UAUUUUGGAGAUAACCUGUACAACUUUGUCCAAGCUGACUUCCAAACUUGUCUUCAUGGUAGUAGUCAGGAACUUUCUCAUGCUUUUCAUCCCCAUGUGUACAUUCCUUCUAUUUCUACAUAACAGGAUGGGAUUCUAUAGCUGGUAUGAGAUGCAUGGCUUCAUUGCUGUGGUUUAGUGGUGAAUGAAACCUGUUAACCUGGCAGUAGCAUUGCCUUGGAGGUGCCUGAACUAAGGUAGAGUUAAGGCUGCUCCCACCGGGCAGAGCAGGACUCACUCAGCAUCCUGCGGUCCCUCUUCUGGUGAACGUAUGAACAACUAUUUCAGGAGCUGAGGAGACAUUCCUUUUGUCUUGUCCUGAUACUCUCUGCAAGUUGUUCUGUUUUCUGCAUUUCGUCUUCUUGCUACAUGCUUUAGUGAAUCGGGAUUUAAAAGGCUCUUGAUUUAAGAUCUCCUUUUAAGAAAGGAAGAGAGGGGGGGAAUUCCUGAAUAUUGAGAAUAGCCUUGUCAGAUUAUCACAAUGUAGGAAAUAUUUAAAUAUUAAAUACAGUAGAACAAUAGCAUUCUACCAAGCUAGUAGACAAACUUUCUAAAUGAAUUAAAUACUUCUGUUCUUCCAUACAUGUACAAAUGUUUUCUCUGUACUAGAAAACGUUUGUUCUACACUUUCUUGUUUCAGUGACGUAGAGCUCUAUAUCCAGGUAUCUCUGAACCUCUGUUUUCUACUUUUAGCUUUAGAUAUCAACAUUACUAUUUGAAUUUCUGGGAGAAUUUUCUAAUCAUAUUAUGGUCUUCUAUUAACCUUUCUCAUUUCUCUGAGAUGUAUUAUCUGUUCUUUGCUUGCCAGUGGCUGAAAUAUUUUUUCCCACUUACUCUUGAGAGGUCUGGGUACAGAAGGGUAUGGAUUCCAUUAACAUUAAUACUUCAAUCACUUCAUUAACUUUUUUCUUUCACUUUACUUUUUGAUCCUUUUCCAGAUGGAAGUGAACAAUGCAUAUCUGCUUAAUCAAUCAUGGCUUUGUAGUUUCUAUAUAUACACACAAAAAAGCAUGUUUCAAUCUCUGUGAUGGAGAAAGAAAAAUCUUAGGGAGUAGUAUUUUAAACAGAUUGCAACAAUGUCGGAACUGAAAUUCAUACUAUACAGAAAAACUGUAGUAAGUUGUUAUACUAUUAAAAUAUUGCCUAAAAAAUU
Molecule: long non-coding RNA, 1192 nt
Organism: Tympanuchus pallidicinctus (lesser prairie-chicken)
Lineage: Eukaryota; Metazoa; Chordata; Aves; Galliformes; Phasianidae
Exons: 2
Source: RefSeq, a predicted model, not a curated record